UAUGGUGAGUCUCAUCUGUGUGUCC
RNAcentral lists this non-coding RNA (25 nucleotides) under Mus musculus (house mouse). Lineage: Eukaryota; Metazoa; Chordata; Mammalia; Rodentia; Muridae. The record is from RNAcentral.